This 164-nucleotide ribosomal RNA is filed under the name uncultured bacterium. RNAcentral's name for it is "partial 16S rRNA". It matches the Rfam family "Bacterial small subunit ribosomal RNA", at positions 355 to 511 of the family's 1533-position model. The record is from RNAcentral.
UAGGGAAUCUUCCACAAUGGACGCAAGUCUGAUGGAGCAACGCCGCGUGAGUGAAGAAGAUCUUCGGAUCGUAAAACUCUGUUGUUAGAGAAGAACACGCAAGAGAGUAACUGUUCUUGUAUUGACGGUAUCUAACCAGAAAGCCACGGCUAACUACGUGCCAG